This 492-nucleotide ribosomal RNA is filed under the name uncultured bacterium. RNAcentral's name for it is "partial 16S ribosomal RNA". It matches the Rfam family "Bacterial small subunit ribosomal RNA", at positions 29 to 507 of the family's 1533-position model. The record is from RNAcentral.
AGUGAACGCUGGCGGUAGGCCUAACACAUGCAAGUCGAACGGCAGCACAGUAAGAGCUUGCUCUUACGGGUGGCGAGUGGCGGACGUGUGAGGAGUACAUCGGAAUCUACUUUUUCGUGGGGGAUAACGUAGGGAAACUUACGCUAAUACCGCAUACGACCUACGGGUGAAAGCAGGGGAUCUUCGGACCUUGCGCGAUUGAAUGAGCCGAUGUCGGAUUAGCUAGUUGGCGGGGUAAAGGCCCACCAAGGCGACGAUCCGUAGCUGGUCUGAGAGGAUGAUCAGCCACACUGGAACUGAGACACGGUCCAGACUCCUACGGGAGGCAGCAGUGGGGAAUGUUGGACAAUGGGCGCAAGCCUGAUCCAGCCAUACCGCGUGGGUGAAGAAGGCCUUCGGGUUGUAAAGCCCUUUUGUUGUGAAAGAAAAGCAGCAGGUUAAUACCCCGCUGUUCUGACGGUACCCAAAGAAUAAGCACCGGCUAACUUCGUG